Triticum aestivum (bread wheat) is the source of this 2142-nucleotide long non-coding RNA. RefSeq lists it as uncharacterized. Lineage: Eukaryota; Viridiplantae; Streptophyta; Magnoliopsida; Poales; Poaceae. The record is from RefSeq and is a predicted model, not a curated record. The transcript has 3 exons.
CCGCGCACUUCCCUUUCCUCCUUUCAUCUUUCCGUUGCUGCUCCUUCCUAGAUCACCACAACCACAGCACCGCCGCCUCAACUCUUUUUCUCUUCCUCUUCCCUCCAUCGUCACCACAGCCCCGGUCCGCUGCCUCCUCCUUCUUUCGCCAGCCACCGCCGCACGAACCUCCCGAGUUGGGGCGGGCACAGAAGGCCGUGGCGAGUCUGGGACCGCAUCCAUCCUCCGUCCCUCGUCGGCCGCCGCUACUGCUUAUCCUCUCUCCUGUCCUGGCCUCGUCUCCCAUGACUGGUGGUGGAAAGCCAUGAGUGGUGGAGAGGAGGAAGGGAGGUAGGGGAACAACGGGGAAGGGGAUGGACGGGGGAUUCACUCCCAGAUUUUGUGCCCCGAGCCAUGGAUGGCCGAGAGAAGGAAGUGGCCUACGCUCUUUUCUCAGGUUUUUUGCAAUGAUGCUUUUCCGAUGGAUGGGUAUAGCUGGUUGAGGUUAAUUUUGUUGCCGUCUUUCCUUCGUACGUCAUCGGAGCAUUCUCCCUUUCGCAUUGAAGGAAAGACGUUGUGGAUGAUGAUAUUAUGAAUACAACUCCUGUCAACAUUGAAGAGGUGUCAGAUAGGCAAGUCUACAGGCAUGUGGUUAGAGAAGCACCUCGAAAAGAUCAGGACGUAUUCCUAGAUUGGCAAUUAUGACAGGAUGGUACGUUUGACAGUGGGAUGCAUCAAAGUUAUAAUAUUCAUGUAAUUACUAUGUAUUUCCACCCUUUUUGUUUCUAGCUGAUACAUAGCUUUUGGUACAUGCAUCAAUCCAGCUUCUUUGUCCGAUGCUCUAAAGAUAUGUGUGCAGUGUGCUUGCUUAGUUAUGUUUCUCUAAAUACAUUCUUUUUUGUACCAAUAUCAUGUUAACUGAAAACUCGCAGUAUAUAUUCCAAUGAUUUUUUGGUGGAAUUUCCACUAAGGUUUAUUAUCUCCAGAUCAGAUGUGAUUUGGUUAAUAUGAAAAUAGCUAUAUUAUUGAAAGGCCUUAAAUGAGUUGAUGUUGUGGGAAACCUGUAUUGUAGUGGCUAGUUCUAUCUAAGAGUAUGCCCAUCUAAUAACAACCGGAAGGGAAGUGCAAAAAAUCUAGCAUUUCUAUAACGCUAACUUCAUUACUUGGAUUAAACCCAAAUAUUGUUUGUGCUAAUUAUGCAACUUUGUCUUUGAGUUUUUCAUUUUUUGUCCCACAUAAUAUAUUACCCUUUUUUAAUCUGUGCCCGCAUGGUCUCACUAUUGAUUUUCUUAAAGUAUAUUACCCUCUUGUUUUUGAAAUAAUAGAUUAAUGUUCUAUACCGGAGGUCCUAACAAAUCCCUAUAGGUUAUUCGUAGUACCGAUUUUGAUGCUUCUUGACCGGUGUUUCAGAAGCCAUCGAUUUUUUUAUAUUUGCACAUGCUUCCUACAUCUUCGCUAUUUUCUCUCUUUAGUGUCACUUUGAUGUUCCUUUGUCACUAUUCAUAGUUCCGCCUGGGGUGGCCUCUAUCUUGCUUUAAAACUCCAUAUGGCUACCUAUGUAUAGGUUCUGUUUGAACUGUACUCAAAUCACAUAGAGCUGUUAAACUUCCAAUUUGUUCCCUUGCCAUCGUGUGCCAUCGCCAUGUUUACUCCAGAAAAGUGGAAUGUUUAAAGCUUCCGUGUGAAGUAGUCAAAUACUUGCUUUGCCUUAAAGACUGUCCCCAUCUAUGUUUUGGGUUUUUUGGGUAUGAAUUUUAUAUUUACCUGGAAUGGAUCAACCCAUUUGGGAUUUUAGAAAAAUAUAUGUGAGUGCAUCUUUCUAAUAAAAGCAUUGCUUAUCAGAGCUUCUAUGGUCCAUGGAACUUAGAAAUGAUAGUGUUAUCUGUAAUUAUAAGAAAUACCUUUCUAAUAGUAAGAAAUACCCUCUUCUGGACUCAAAAUUGUUGUUGGUCUUCUGAUCACUUUCAUUGUCUAUCAGCUAGGCUAUGACUACCAUAAGCUAGCAUCAUUGGGGUCAAGUCAUUAUGUUUAGUUUAUCUUCAGUGCCUUGCAGGUUAAUGGUUCACGUAAGAUUGUAGCCUACCUUCUUCGUGUUGACUUCCAUAUUUUCCUUCAUGUCUACUAUAUUUAUAUAUGCACAAAGUGCUUAUUUCUUUGGUGCAU